ACUCAUCCGAGGCCCCGUAAUCGGAAUGAGAACACUCUAAAUCCUUUAACGAUGAUCUAUUGGAGGGCAAGCCUGGUGCCAGCAGCCGCGGUAAUUCCAGCUCCAAUAGCGUAUAUUAAAGUUGUUGCGGUUAAAAAGCUCGUAGUUGGUUCUGCGUGCCACGCUGUCGGUUCACCGCCUGCCGGUGCAACUGGCAUGCCGUGGCAUGUCCUGUCGGUGGCGGAUAGGCCUCCCGGCGUGCCCUAUGCGGUAUACCAGCGUGUAGGCUGCUGCUCCGGGGGUGCCUUGUACGCCGACUCAAUCCUACCGCGGUGCUCUUUACCGAGUGUCGAGGUAGGCCGACACUGUUUACUUUGAACAAAUUAGAGUGCUUCAAGCAGGCUCUUAAAUCAGCCUGAAUAGUGGUGCAUGGAAUAAUGGAACAGGACCUUGGUUCUAUUUUGUUGGUUUCCGGAAUCCAAGGUAAUGAUCAAUAAGGACAGGCGGGGGCAUUCGUAUUGCGACGUUAGAGGUGAAAUUCUUGGAUCGUCGCAAGACGCACUAAAGCGAAAGCAUUUGCCAAGUAUGUCUUAAUUGAUCAAGAACGAAAGUUAGAGGUUCGAAGGCGAUCAGAUACCGCCCUAGUUCUAACCAUAAACGAUGCCAGCCAGCGAUCCGCCGACGUUCCUCCGAUGACUCGGCGGGGAGCUUUCCCCGGGAAACCAAAGCUUUUGGGUUCCGGGGGAAGUAUGGUUGCAAAGCUGAAACUUAAAGGAAUUG
Molecule: ribosomal RNA, 759 nt
Filed under: Neacoryphus lateralis
Lineage: Eukaryota; Metazoa; Arthropoda; Insecta; Hemiptera; Lygaeidae
Description: SSU rRNA
Rfam family: Eukaryotic small subunit ribosomal RNA
Source: RNAcentral